AAUGAACGCUGGCGGUAGGCCUAACACAUGCAAGUCGAACGGCAGCACAGUAAGAGCUUGCUCUUACGGGUGGCGAGUGGCGGACGGGUGAGGAAUACAUCGGAAUCUACUUUUUCGUGGGGGAUAACGUAGGGAAACUUACGCUAAUACCGCAUACGACCUACGGGUGAAAGCAGGGGAUCUUCGGACCUUGCGCGAUUGAAUGAGCCGAUGUCGGUUUAGCUAGGUGGCGGGGUAAAGGCCCACCAAGGCGACGAUCCGUAGCUGGUAUGAGAGGAUGAUCAGCCACACUGGAACUGAGACACGGUCCAGACUCCUACGGGAGGCAGCAGUGGGGAAUAUUGGACAAUGGGGGAAAGCCUGAUCCAGCCAUACCGCGUGGGUGAAGAAGGCCUUCGGGUUGUAAAGCCCUUUUGUUGGGAAAGAAAAGCAGCAGGUUAAUCCCCCGCUGUUCUGACGGUACCCAAAGAAUAAGCACCGGCUAACUUCGUG
RNAcentral lists this ribosomal RNA (492 nucleotides) under uncultured bacterium. RNAcentral's name for it is "partial 16S ribosomal RNA". It matches the Rfam family "Bacterial small subunit ribosomal RNA", at positions 29 to 507 of the family's 1533-position model. The record is from RNAcentral.